RNAcentral lists this ribosomal RNA (696 nucleotides) under Triticum aestivum (bread wheat). RNAcentral describes it as "partial small subunit ribosomal RNA". Lineage: Eukaryota; Viridiplantae; Streptophyta; Magnoliopsida; Poales; Poaceae. The record is from RNAcentral.
AUGCAGCCGUGCACGUACCGGCGAGGGCUGCACUCGUGCAGGUAUGCCAGCCCCCUCGCCGCGCCCUGCACGAUGGACAGCCUCACCGACCACGGCAAUGGCGUUGGCGAAGCCGUCGGGCCACCUGAUUCAAACAUGCUAUUCAGUGCCACUAUCUCUGGAUCAAAUGCAACCUCUAGUCUAGCAGUUAACAAGACAAGAUUUCGGCGGCACAUUACCGUGGAGGGCGGAGUGGAGGGAGCCAUUGCCGAGGUAGUCGUAGAUGAGCAGCUUCUCGUCUGGGGCGUAGUAGUAUGCGCGGAGGCGGGCGACGUUGGGAUGGCGCGCGCGGCCGAUGGCGGCAGCCUCGGCCUCGAAGGCACGGCGCCGGCGCCACCCGGACUCAGUGCCAUCGCCGUCGUCGGGCUCGCUGAGACGGCGGACGGCCACGGCGGUGCCGCGGCCGGGGACGACCCUGUACACGAUGCCGCCGCGGCUCUUCCCCACGACGUAGGCGGACGCCCGGAGCAGCUCCUCCAGCUCCAUCCCGAAACCGUCGUCCACGGCCACGAACAGCUCCCCCUCCUCCCCGCCGCCGCGCCGCUCUUCAGUGCCGGCGAGCGUCACCGCCGCGCUCUUCUCCUUGGUCGACGACUCCUUCUCCUCGUCCCUGGUCGUCGCAGCGCACCGCCUCCGGCACUGCCACUGCAGCACUAG